RNAcentral lists this ribosomal RNA (494 nucleotides) under uncultured bacterium. RNAcentral describes it as "bacterial SSU rRNA". It matches the Rfam family "Bacterial small subunit ribosomal RNA", at positions 28 to 511 of the family's 1533-position model. The record is from RNAcentral.
GACGAACGCUGGCGGCGCGCCUAACACAUGCAAGUCGAGCGAGAACCAUUCCUUCGGGAAUGGGGACAGCGGCGAACGGGUGAGUAACACGUGGGUAAUCUACCCUCGGUUCUGGGAUAGCCCGGGGAAACCCGGAUUAAUACCGGAUAGCCUCUUGAGCCUUCGGGUUCUUGAGAAAAGGUAGCUUCGGCCUCCGACCGAGGAUGAGCCCGCGGCGGAUUAGCUUGUUGGCGGGGUAACGGCCCACCAAGGCACGAUCCGUAGCUGGUCUGAGAGGACGAUCAGCCACACUGGGACUGAGACACGGCCCAGACUCCUACGGGAGGCAGCAGUGGGGAAUCUUGCGCAAUGGGCGAAAGCCUGACGCAGCGACGCCGCGUGCGGGAAGAAGGCCCUCGGGUUGUAAACCGUUUUCAGGGGGGACGAAGCCACUCGGGUUAAUAGCCCAGAGGGUGACGGUCCUCCAGAAGAAGCCCCGGCUAACUACGUGCCAG